RNAcentral lists this ribosomal RNA (318 nucleotides) under uncultured fungus. RNAcentral's name for it is "eukaryotic LSU rRNA". The stretch from base 1 to 52 matches the Rfam family "5.8S ribosomal RNA", at positions 103 to 154 of the family's 154-position model. The record is from RNAcentral. Lineage: Eukaryota; Fungi.
AACGCACCUUGCGCUCCUUGGUAUUCCGAGGAGCAUGUCUGUUUGAGUGUUAUGAAAUCUUCAACCCACCUGUUUCUUGUUAGGCAGUCGUGGUGUUUGGAUCGUGGGCGUUUGUGCAGGCCUCUUUGAGUUACUCAAGAAGCCAGCUCGCCUGGAAUCAUGAGCAGCGUCGACCUUGACAUCUGGCUUGACUUGGCGUGAUAGGUUAUUAUCGCUGAGGACACCCUUUUAAAAAAGGGUUGGCCGAUUCGUUGGAGAAGGCUUACAAUUGCAAACCAUCCUUUGACCUCAAUCAGAUAGGACUACCCGCUGACUUAA